GAUGAACGCUGGCGGCGUGCCUAAUACAUGCAAGUAGAGCGAACAGACGAGAGUGCUUGCACUCUCUGACGUUAGCGGCGGACGGGUGAGUAACACGUGGGUAACCUACCUAUAAGACUGGGAUAACUUCGGGAAACCGGAGCUAAUACCGGAUAAUAUUUAGCUUCGCAUGACGCAAUAGUGAAAGACGGUUCUGCUGUCACUUAUAGAUGGACCCGCGGUGUAUUAGCUAGUUGGUGAGGUAACGGCUCACCAAGGCAACGAUACAUAGCCGACCUGAGAGGGUGAUCGGCCACACUGGGACUGAGACACGGCCCAGACUCCUACGGGAGGCAGCAGUAGGGAAUCUUCCGCAAUGGACGAAAGUCUGACGGAGCAAUGCCGCGUGAGUGAAGAAGGUUUUCGGAUCGUAAAACUCUGUUGUAAGGGAAGAACAAGUACGUUAGUAACUGAACGUACCUUGACGGUACCUUACCAGAAAGCCACGGCUAACUACGUG
Molecule: ribosomal RNA, 499 nt
Filed under: uncultured bacterium
Lineage: Bacteria
Description: partial 16S ribosomal RNA
Rfam family: Bacterial small subunit ribosomal RNA
Source: RNAcentral